Cherax quadricarinatus is the source of this 1236-nucleotide non-coding RNA. NCBI's taxonomy places the organism in Eukaryota, Metazoa, Arthropoda, Malacostraca, Decapoda, Parastacidae. The record is from RefSeq and is a predicted model, not a curated record.
GACUGGUGUGCAGUCAGUCGAGGACUGGCUUCAGUCUGGUCAAUACUACCUUACACAGCAAACUUUAAUAAGCUAAGAAAUAUCUUCAAUCCUGACAACAGGUCACACCAAUGACUAAAGAAGCAAGUAUCGUGUCGCAGCAUGGACUGCUGAAGGUGUGUUGUGUCGAGCAAGGCAGUCCCUGUGUUGCAGUUGAUCCCCAAAACGCUAGAGGACCAGGAGCUGGAGUCUCUGUAUCAUACACUGCAACACGUGGCAUCUUGGUACAGAAAACACCUUGGACAAGCUUUUCAAGUGAGAAGGGUUGGAUCUGAGAGGGACAUGACCUCUCAGUUGCCUCUCACUACUACUACUACUACUACUACUACUACUACUACUACUACUACUACUACUACUACUACUACUACCCUGCACCUCUCCUUCCGACAGUAUUUAAGUCUCCGCACUGUCGCUUGAUCUUCAGAUAGUUCCUGACUAUGGAACUGAACUUCUCCAGGCCGAGGGACUGACAACCUCAAAUUCUACGACUUUAAGGGUGAUGGACUGAUUACAUCGUCUUCACAUCUCUACUGUUCCUGCCUACUUUCUGUAUUAGACUGAAGAAGCCUACUGUGUAGGCGAAACGUUUCGGAAUAAAGUUGUCUAACUGUUGCAUAUGUGUCUUACCUAACAACCUGUCGGUAUUGUAUACCAUUUUGAUGUUCAUCAUUCAUCUACUGUUUAUCCCAUUGCAUCAUUCAUCUGGUACAUAUCAUUGUCGCCAAACAUUCAUUGUCACUUGGUACCAUUCACUUACACUAAAUCCUCUAGUACCAUUAACCAAUGUGUCAAUUCAUCGACUACUUAUACACCACAAAGUAUAUCUUUCAUGUUAUAUACACCGAGAACUGCAUAUCACCGACUACACGCAAAAAUUUAGAUCUCCGAGUAUAUACACUGAGGUGUUAUUCUCUCGGUAUAUUGAACAUAGUUUACAUUGAUCCUCGUUUAAGGGAUUUUAACAAUCUUGACUGGUAGUGUACAAGUUAAAUUCAUUAAUGAUCAUCGUGUAACCGAUGGACUUGAAAUCUAAUAAUUUUUUUUGCUUUAUUAAAACCAAUUAGUAAAGUAAAGCAACAGUCAAGUCUAUAAUUAAUUUGAAAAAAUAUUGUGCAAACACAUAAACCCUGAGAAUUGUUUUUAAACUAUUACCCAAAUCUUCCUCUUCAUCAUCUUCUUCAUCGUCUUCAAUUUCUU